GCCCGGAUGGUGAAAUAGGUAGACACAGCGGACUUAAAAUCCGCAACCCGCGAGGGUGUGCCGGUUCGAGUCCGGCUCCGGGCACCA
RNAcentral lists this transfer RNA (87 nucleotides) under Dyella sp. RNAcentral describes it as "tRNA-Leu". It matches the Rfam family "tRNA". Rfam says of the family: Transfer RNA (tRNA) molecules are approximately 80 nucleotides in length. Their secondary structure includes four short double-helical elements and three loops (D, anti-codon, and T loops). The record is from RNAcentral. Lineage: Bacteria; Pseudomonadati; Pseudomonadota; Gammaproteobacteria; Lysobacterales; Rhodanobacteraceae.